GGCAACCCUGACGGAGCAAUACCGCGUGGGGGAGGAAGGCUCUUGGGUCGUAAACCCCUUUUCUCAGGGAAGAACACAAUGACGGUACCUGAGGAAUCAGCAUCGGCUAACUCCGUGCCAGCAGCCGCGGUAAUACGGAGGAUGCAAGCGUUAUCCGGAAUGAUUGGGCGUAAAGCGUCCGCAGGUGGCAUUUCAAGUUUGCGGUUAAAGGUUCUGGCUCAACCAGAGACAGGCCGUGAAAACUGAAAAGCUAGAGUAUGGUAGGGGCAGAGGGAAUUCCCAGUGUAGCGGUGAAAUGCGUAGAGAUUGGGAAGAACACCGGUGGCGAAAGCGCUCUGCUAGGCCAAAACUGACACUGAGGGACGAAAGCUAGGGGAGCG
This 380-nucleotide ribosomal RNA is filed under the name uncultured cyanobacterium. RNAcentral describes it as "bacterial SSU rRNA". It matches the Rfam family "Bacterial small subunit ribosomal RNA", at positions 376 to 770 of the family's 1533-position model. The record is from RNAcentral. Lineage: Bacteria; Bacillati; Cyanobacteriota.